Molecule: transfer RNA, 76 nt
Filed under: Candidatus Hydrogenedentota bacterium
Lineage: Bacteria; Pseudomonadati; Candidatus Hydrogenedentota
Also listed under: 1 other name
Description: tRNA-Gln
Rfam family: tRNA
About the family: Transfer RNA (tRNA) molecules are approximately 80 nucleotides in length. Their secondary structure includes four short double-helical elements and three loops (D, anti-codon, and T loops).
Source: RNAcentral
UGGGGCGUCGCCAAGUUGGUAAGGCACCAGAUUUUGGUUCUGGCAUGCGUUGGUUCGAAUCCAGCCGCCCCAGCCA